This 433-nucleotide ribosomal RNA is filed under the name uncultured bacterium. RNAcentral describes it as "partial 16S ribosomal RNA". It matches the Rfam family "Bacterial small subunit ribosomal RNA", at positions 29 to 507 of the family's 1533-position model. The record is from RNAcentral.
AACGAACGCUGGCGGCAUGCCUAACACAUGCAAGUCGAACGAGACCUUCGGGUCUAGUGGCGCACGGGUGCGUAACGCGUGGGAACCUGCCCUUAGGUUUGGAAUAACUCCCCGAAAGGGGUGCUAAUACCGGAUAAUGUCUUCGGACCAAAGAUUUAUCGCCUUUGGAUGGGCCCGCGUUGGAUUAGCUAGUUGGUAGGGUAAAAGCCUACCAAGGCGACGAUCCAUAGCUGGUCUGAGAGGAUGAUCAGCCACACUGGGACUGAGACACGGCCCAGACUCCUACGGGAGGCAGCAGUGGGGAAUAUUGGACAAUGGGCGAAAGCCUGAUCCAGCAAUGCCGCGUGAGUGAUGAAGGCCUUAGGGUUGUAAAGCUCUUUUACCCGGGAUGAUAAUGACGGUACCGGGAGAAUAAGCUCCGGCUAACUCCGUG